CACUCUCGGGCUGGGAUGGACGCGGGGCGGGCCGGCCCUGGCGCGCGGAGCCAGGAGUCCGGGCCUCCCGGCUGCUGAGCGUCCCUCGAAGCCUCCCCUCACCCCCGCCUUCCCUCCUAGGAUCCGCGCUGACCCCCGCCCCGGGGCUCUGGACUCGGCUCCCGCCCUCCUCUGACUCCCCGGACCUCCCCCUCACGCCCGCCCUCGGGAUCGACUAGAUCCCUCCCCCUCCCCGAGGAUUCCGGCUGGAUCCCUGCCCCUGCACCGCGGAUCCUGCGCUCCCGGGCCCCGGGCCCCUGGGGAUUAACGUGGACUCCUCCUCCAGCACCCGAUCCUUAGGAUCCUCCGCCUGGACCGCCUUCUGGUCCCUCGAAGCCGGCCCACGGAACCAGCGGAUCCUCAAUCUAGUCCUGUCCCGUUGCCCCCUCCUUUCUCUAUCGUCCCUACUGCGGGGUUCCCUGUUCUCGGGCUCCCCCUGAUCCCAUCCCCUAGCUCUCCUUUUCCCGGGGAUCGACUGGAUCCCGGCCCCGCCCCCCGGGGCUGGGGCGAUCCCCCUCCCCCGCCGGGUGAGGCGCUGCGGGCGGGGGCUGGGCCUGCGGGGCCGCGGGGGCUCAGAGGCCGCCGCCCCCUCCCGAAGGCCUUUCGCCCCCCACUCGGAGCCCUGGAUGGAGGCACCACGGCCCCAGGGCUGAGCCAGGUCGGGCCUGCCUUCACCUUCUCCCAUUUCCUUCCCCUUCCCCACCCCGUGCCCCCUCCAUGGAGAGGAACAGACCCCUUCUCUGUCCAGUCUAACCCAGGUCCCUCCCCAACCCCCUCCUCCCUCCUUUCC
This 829-nucleotide long non-coding RNA is filed under the name Homo sapiens (human). RNAcentral's name for it is "non-protein coding lnc-NLGN2-1:2". Lineage: Eukaryota; Metazoa; Chordata; Mammalia; Primates; Hominidae. The record is from RNAcentral.